AGUGUAGGCGGCUCUGCAAGUUAAAUGUGAAAUCCUACGGCUUAACCGUAGAACUGCAUUUAAAACUGUGGAGCUAGAGUAUGGAAGAGGUAAGUGGAAUUCCUAGUGUAGCGGUAGAAUGCGUAGAUAUUAGGAGGAACACCAGAGGCGAAGGCGGCUUACUGGGACAUUACUGACGCUGAGGCUCGAAAGCGUGGGGAGCAAACA
RNAcentral lists this ribosomal RNA (207 nucleotides) under uncultured bacterium. RNAcentral describes it as "partial 16S ribosomal RNA". It matches the Rfam family "Bacterial small subunit ribosomal RNA", at positions 568 to 774 of the family's 1533-position model. The record is from RNAcentral.